AAAAAAGUGAAGCAAAAUUGGGAUAUGACAACUGCUCUUAUUUAAUAUCUUGAAUCAGAUGAUAUGAUUGAAGGUAGUUAAAUAUAUAAGACCCAAAUUUUGUCCCUUGAAAGGAAUAAAGUGCAAUGAGACCAUAUGCAUUUUUUGAGAACUUAUUUUCUUAGGAUUGACUGAAAUACUUUGUUGGAGAAUAUAUCAGUCAUAAAAGAGAUGUAUGUGGACAUAUUUUGCAUGUUG
Molecule: long non-coding RNA, 237 nt
Filed under: Lathyrus oleraceus (garden pea)
Lineage: Eukaryota; Viridiplantae; Streptophyta; Magnoliopsida; Fabales; Fabaceae
Description: Pisum sativum (pea) long non-coding RNA (PSAT_LNC009136)
Source: RNAcentral